Molecule: ribosomal RNA, 467 nt
Filed under: uncultured bacterium
Lineage: Bacteria
Description: partial 16S ribosomal RNA
Rfam family: Bacterial small subunit ribosomal RNA
Source: RNAcentral
GACGAACGCUGGCGGCGUGCUUAACACAUGCAAGUCGAACGGAAAGGCCUCUUUCGGGGGGUACUCGAGUGGCGAACGGGUGAGUAACACGUGAGUAACCUGCCCUUGACUUUGGGAUAACUUCAGGAAACUGGGGCUAAUACCGGAUAGGAGCUCCUGCUGCAUGGUGGGGGUUGGAAAGUUUCGGCGGUUGGGGAUGGACUCGCGGCUUAUCAGCUUGUUGGUGGGGUAGUGGCUUACCAAGGCUUAGACGGGUAGCCGGCCUGAGAGGGUGACCGGCCACAUUGGGACUUAGAUACGGCCCAGACUCCUACGGGAGGCAGCAGUGGGGAAUAUUGCACAAUGGGUGGAAGCCUGAUGCAGCAACGCCGUGUGCGGGAUGACGGCCUUCGGGUUGUAAACCGCUUUCGCUCAUGACGAAGCUUUGUGUGACGUUAGUGGGUAAAGAAGCACCGGCUAACUACGUG